CCCGCCGUCGCUAGGCGACCGCGGCUCUCGCGAGAGCGACGGGGGCGGCCAAGAUGGCGGACGGGGCGGGUAGCAACGGGGACGCCGCGGCGCUGCCUGUGGGCAAGGAGGCAGUGGAGCGGCUGAUCCGGGAGAACGGGCACAUCUUCACCGAGGCGCAGUGCAAGGUGUGCAGCGCGCUGCUCAUCUCCGAGUCGCAGCGCCUGGCGCACUACCAGAGCAAGAAGCACGCCAACAAGGUGCGGAGGUACCUCUCCAUCCACGGCGAGGAGGAGCUGGCGCCCGGGAAGAAGAUGAAGCUGGACGCGAAGGAGAGCAAGCAGGAAGGCAGCAAUGGGGAGGACAGGAACAAGUGUUGUCCCAUCUGUAACAUGACCUUUUCCUCUCCUGCUGUGGCCACGUCUCACUACCUGGGGAAGACUCAUGCCAAGAAUGUGAAGCAGCAGUCCCCUAAAGUGGAAGAAGUGGUGCCCCCACAGAAACAUCCCGCUACCCUCCCCACCUCUACUGUGUCUUCUAAUGAAGAGAACAAGGACAUUGCUGACCCAGACAAGUUCUGUAGCCUCUGCCAUGCCACUUUCAACAACCCCCUUAUGGCAAAACAACAUUACGUGGGCAAGAAGCACAGAAAGCAAGAAACCAAACACAAGCUGAUGGCACGCUACGGCCGAUCUCCUGACGCACCAGCAUCGUCCUUCCUGGGCACCAAGUUGUUGGCUAGCUGUGCUGUGUGUGUUAACAUUGAUGUCUGUUUCAGCUGGGAAAGGCUACCCCUGCAACACAUGUAACAUAGUACUGAACUCCAUAGAGCAGUACCAAGCUCACAUCAGUGGCUUCAAACACAAGAAUCAGAUCCCGGGAGCAGUGCCGCUUGUAGGACCGUUCCCACCGCAGCAGUAUGUCCGGGAAGAAACAACUGCUCCAGGAGGCUACAGUUACUUCAGCCAAGACUUCUAGAGCAAGUUGCAGCACCGUUCUUGGAGUUGUUGGUGGCCCAAGAACACACAUCCUUUGCCAGCCCACAAUGGUUUCAUUAUCCCUCUAUGGAUAAGCAAAGCCCUACCCUCCUGUAUGCACCCGUUGAGCAGAACGGGGACUGAAUCUGUCCGAAAAAGGAUCCAGCUGGAAGGGACUUGGUAGACAGCAAAUACUUCACUCCCUUAGAGUAGUUUUCAUUGUGUAAUUGCUUCCUGAAAAGGUGGGUGCGGUGUGAGAGGAAGUGUGUAUCUGGUAUAAGGAGCGUCUGGCAACAAGCUGGUUAACAUCUACCUCCUCCCUCACCAGAGCAAACAGUGGAUUCCUGCCCCUGGAGGCCAGCAGCCCACACUUAGAGGUGUCUUUUGCUGGAGGAGAGCUCCUAGUCCAUAGCGAGCAGCAUUUAUGCGGUGUGAAUGGGAUGCUGUGCGUGUUGCCUGGCAUUUUACAGGCCUAACAUAGGAAAUGGCAGCAAGACAUCUUUUGUCGUGAUUCCUCUGGGCAGGUUUGUGUGCAGAAUUCUGUGAGCCACUGAUUGCCAUCAGAGCCCUUUGCAGCACUGCAGCCCGUGGUUCAGGAGCUGUGUUGUUUGGCGUCUAACAAGUAGUUGUGAUUUCUGGUGUACAGUGCUGCUGGUGGAGCGGAGGGCGGGCGGAGGAGUUGGAGCUCUUGGCUCUCCUGGCAGCUCAGCCCUCCACUCUGAGGAUUUCCACGUGGAAGGAAGAAACUGUUUAGCCUGGUUUCCUAUGGAAACAGGUGUAUGUGAUCAUUCACCGUGUGUGUCUUUACCCCCCCAUAACUUAAACCAAUCUCAGCCAAACUUGGCAGUGGUGGAAAUCUCCGAGACCUGAAUGCAAUCAGCAGAGGAAGGUGAGCAGGAAGAGUUCAUCUCUAGUUCUGUCAGGGUCUCUACAUGAGUGCAGCGUUUUCCCUACUGCCAGCAAAAUAGUAAUAGAGAAGGAGAACUUUAAAGGAAAAAAAGUAGAGGAGAAAAGUAUAGAAAUAACAGAAUAGUGUAGUAUAGCUUGGUCGAAUUGUUAGCUGGCUGAAUAGCUACAAAUCCUCUGGAAACCUGACUUAGUCCUUCAUUAGACAAUACUUGCCCAACCCCUCUCCUCAGAGUUCUUACGCAUUUGUACCAUCAUGGAGAAGAGAUGCUCUGUCUUUCAAACCCAGAAAUUAAGACAGAUGGUCUCCUCAUGGUGCUAAUGUACUGGAUCUGUCAGAAGAGCCCCUGGAAGGAAGGGCGGGCAUCUGAGGCUGUUGUGCAUUUUGGGUGAGUUCUUCAGAUGUUCUGCCCUUGAGCUAGGGCAGUGCCAUUCUUUGCUGGCCACCGUGGGAGCUGUGCUGUCGGGCUGGCCUUGUGCUCAGCACCAGCACUCCACAUGAGGCACCCCGCAGCUUUGUCUCAGCCUCAGUGCCUCCAUGGAGCUGAGACUUCACCAGCCUGUGGCAAGUGCCAUUGGUUUUCUUCCACGGGGCAGGAGAACAGGGGCUUGCCUGGCCAGCAGGAGCGGAGGUGGUGGACACACUGAGCAGAGCCGCUGCCUCUCACCGCCGCGGCAGCUGCUGGAGGGCACUCUGGGGCCCUGCGCUCCCGGUGCUGCGUUCCAGGCUGAGCAGCUGCCACCCUUGCGAGGCUGAGAGCCAGGCUGGGGAGGCACUCCCAAAACCCUGCACGUGCUGGUCAGGUUAAGCGAGGAGAGGGAGCUGGUUGCUCAUCUCCGCACUUGGAGCGAGUGCCUUCCCUCCCCGCUCAAGGCUGUGCACGAGCUUUGUUUGCCUUCGCCCUGCGCAGGAUCUGCCAUCUCCCCUUAGGACGGGCUCCUGCUGGUCUGGGUUCGCCUUCCUGAUGUUUUCCAGUCUUGCUGUGCUGCUGAGGGCUGACCUUAGCCUCCUGCUUCAGAGGGAGUCCUGUUAAGCCAAGCAAGCUGAUCAACCAGCAGAAAAUUGCAAUGAAGUGAAGGAAGCAUUGCGUGCCUGGUGGCACUGGAUGGCCUCCAGCUCCAAUCUCCGCUGCUUAGCUCUCGUCUCGCUGCACGAGGGCAGGUGCCUGCUAGAUGUGCUAUGCAUUGACACCAAGAGGGAUCCAUUUCCAGCACUGCCCAGUCCGGUGUGUCACUCCAGUCUGUGUACUGACAGUUUUGCCUUCCUCUGUACAUGAUGUUUAUGUAUCUGCUGUUUCCCUAAGGUGAAGCUCUCCAAAUAGAGUGUUUAUUACUACA
Molecule: RNA transcript, 3200 nt
Organism: Numida meleagris (helmeted guineafowl)
Lineage: Eukaryota; Metazoa; Chordata; Aves; Galliformes; Numididae
Gene: ZNF346
Gene name: zinc finger protein 346
Exons: 7
Source: RefSeq, a predicted model, not a curated record